This 506-nucleotide antisense RNA is filed under the name Calothrix sp. PCC 7507. RNAcentral describes it as "Saccharopolyspora sRNA 350". It matches the Rfam family "Saccharopolyspora sRNA 350". The record is from Rfam by way of RNAcentral. Lineage: Bacteria; Bacillati; Cyanobacteriota; Cyanophyceae; Nostocales; Calotrichaceae.
UUGAGGGUGUACUGCCAGGUGUCCUCGGAUUGCACCACAGUUUCAUCACCGAAAUGGUCGCCGUCGGCUAGCACGUCCAACACGACCUGCUCGUCAUACUUGCCAACACCAAUCUUGUUCACCUUGCCACGAGCAAUUAGAAUUAUGCGAUCAGCCGGCUGACCAAUCUCAACGAUCACGUCGUCUGGGGCGAACUCCUGCUGCACAAACUGGUUAGCCAACGCGGUCAACACCUGGGUGUCGUUAAACCCUCGCAGCAAGGGCAACUCAGUAAGUUCCUGGGGAAUCACCUGCACCGUUGCUCCGGUGUUGGUGAAACUAACCCGCCCAUCACCCACAGAAUAACUCAACCGACGGUUGACGCGAUAUACGCCACCCUUGGUCUGCACCCACGGCAACAGCUUCAACAACCACCGGGAUGUAAUUUCCUGGGUCUGUGGUGCAGAUUUGGUCGUUGUCGCCAAAUUACGCGCCGCUGCUGUACUCAAACUUAACUGGGGCUGCUG